UCUGGGAUCUUAGAAUCCACACCCACCCCACAGGAAAGAUACAGACUCAGCAUAAAGGUGUCCUCCAAGACAGGGCAGUGAUGGAUCUUUAUUAGUAUUGU
This 101-nucleotide long non-coding RNA is filed under the name Mus spicilegus (steppe mouse). RNAcentral's name for it is "lncRNA (ENSMSIG00000015870.1)". The record is from RNAcentral. Lineage: Eukaryota; Metazoa; Chordata; Mammalia; Rodentia; Muridae.